GGAUUCAUAAGUUAAACAAACUAUUAACCUUCAAAGUUAAAAAUAUUUAUAUGCGUGUUGAAUCUG
Molecule: transfer RNA, 66 nt
Filed under: Rabdotus mooreanus
Lineage: Eukaryota; Metazoa; Mollusca; Gastropoda; Stylommatophora; Orthalicidae
Description: tRNA-Trp
Source: RNAcentral